AUUGGAUGAGCCUGCGUCGGAUUAGCUAGUUGGUGGGGUAAUGGCCUACCAAGGCGACGAUCCGUAGCUGGUCUGAGAGGAUGAUCAGCCACACUGGGACUGAGACACGGCCCAGACUCCUACGGGAGGCAGCAGUGGGGAAUAUUGCGCAAUGGGGGAAACCCUGACGCAGCCAUGCCGCGUGUGUGAAGAAGGCNUUAGGGUUGUNAAGCGCUUUCGAAUNGGGANAAAACGCCNGUAGAU
RNAcentral lists this ribosomal RNA (243 nucleotides) under uncultured Gammaproteobacteria bacterium. RNAcentral describes it as "partial 16S ribosomal RNA". It matches the Rfam family "Bacterial small subunit ribosomal RNA", at positions 220 to 462 of the family's 1533-position model. Lineage: Bacteria; Pseudomonadati; Pseudomonadota; Gammaproteobacteria. The record is from RNAcentral.